Molecule: ribosomal RNA, 484 nt
Filed under: uncultured bacterium
Lineage: Bacteria
Description: partial 16S ribosomal RNA
Rfam family: Bacterial small subunit ribosomal RNA
Source: RNAcentral
AUUGAACGCUGGCGGCAGGCCUAACACAUGCAAGUCGAGCGGAUGAAGGGAGCUUGCUCCUGGUUUCAGCGGCGGACGGGUGAGUAAUGCCUAGGAAUCUGCCUGGCAGUGGGGGAUAACGUCCGCAAACGGGCGCUAAUACCGCAUACGUCCUGAGGGUGAAAGUGGGGGAUCUUCGGACCUCACGCUAUCUUAUGAGCAUAGGUCGGAUUAGUUGGCUGGUGGGGUAAAGACCUACCAAGGCGACGAUCCGUAACUGGACUGAGAGGAUGAUAAGUCACACUAGAACAUGAACAGGGACAAGAGUCCUGCGAGACGGAGCAGAGGGGAAAAUUGGGCAAUAGGGGAGAGCCUGAUCCAGCGGUGGGACGUGUGAGGCGAAGAUCUUCGGAUUGUGAAGCCCUUUAACUUGGGGGAAAGAGCAGUAGGUUGAUACGUUGCUGUUUUGACGUUAACGGCAGAAUAAGCACCGGCUAACUUCGUG